This 344-nucleotide long non-coding RNA is filed under the name Vigna radiata. RNAcentral's name for it is "long non-coding RNA (VRAD_LNC006240)". The record is from RNAcentral. Lineage: Eukaryota; Viridiplantae; Streptophyta; Magnoliopsida; Fabales; Fabaceae.
GAGCGGUUCUCUUCAAGUUGGUAGAGUGGUUCUUUUCAUUCUAAUUCUAUUCAUUUGAUUGUAAUCUAUUAAACCAUUUUUAGUGGAACUGUUAAUCACUAUUUAUAGUGAUUAAAGACUGGACGUAGAUUCUGUUGAAUCGAACCAGUAUAAAAAUACUCGUGUGAAUCUUUCUUAUCCCUACACUUAUUUUACUUAUCGCACAUCAAUUGUUUGGUUAAUUUUCUGAAAGAAAAUUACUUUGAUAAAAAAGGGCAAAAUCGUUUCAACUGUGACUUAAUACGCUUUACGCUCUCUGUGUUUUUAAUCCGCUGCGCUAAACUCUUUGAAAAUUACCCCCUCCG